GCAGACACAUUCCAGCCAAUCAGCAGCAGACCCUCCCUCCCAGACCCUCCCAACUCCUGGACAGCAUCCAUUUUACAUUCAUUGUGAAGCUGCAUUCUUAGUGAGCUGUCCAGGAGGUGGGAGGGUCUGGGAGGGAGGGUCUGCUGCUGAUUGGCUGGAAUGUGUCUG
Molecule: non-coding RNA, 168 nt
Organism: Pelobates cultripes (western spadefoot toad)
Lineage: Eukaryota; Metazoa; Chordata; Amphibia; Anura; Pelobatidae
Source: the annotation of a GenBank genome assembly